AUACGUAGGGAGCGAGCGUUGUCCGGAAUUACUGGGUGUAAAGGGAGCGUAGGCGGGAGUGCAAGUCAGAUGUGAAAUACAUGGGCUCAACCCAUGGGCUGCAUUUGAAACUGCACUUCUUGAGUGAAGUAGAGGUAAGCGGAAUUCCUGGUGUAGCGGUGAAAUGCGUAGAUAUCAGGAGGAACACCGGUGGCGAAGGCGGCUUACUGGGCUUUUACUGACGCUGAGGCUCGAAAGCGUGGGGAGCAAACAGGAUUAGAUACCCUGGUAGUCCACGCUGUAAACGAUGAUUACUAGGUGUGGGGGGACUGACCCCUUCCGUGCCGCAGUUAACACAAUAAGUAAUCCACCUGGGGAGUACGGCCGCAAGGUUGAAACUCAAAUGAAUUGACGGGG
Molecule: ribosomal RNA, 396 nt
Filed under: uncultured bacterium
Lineage: Bacteria
Description: partial 16S ribosomal RNA
Rfam family: Bacterial small subunit ribosomal RNA
Source: RNAcentral